Molecule: small nuclear RNA, 129 nt
Organism: Salmo trutta (river trout)
Lineage: Eukaryota; Metazoa; Chordata; Actinopteri; Salmoniformes; Salmonidae
Gene: U1
Rfam family: U1 spliceosomal RNA
About the family: U1 is a small nuclear RNA (snRNA) component of the spliceosome (involved in pre-mRNA splicing). Its 5' end forms complementary base pairs with the 5' splice junction, thus defining the 5' donor site of an intron.
Source: Ensembl
AUGUUGUAGCAGAGGCACCCAGGCUCGGCCAUUGCACUCCGGCCGUACUGACCCCUGCAAAUUCCCCAAAGGUGGGAAUCUUGACUGCAUAAGUUGUGUUAGUGGGGGACUGCAUCACACUGUCCCCUG